This 25-nucleotide non-coding RNA is filed under the name Mus musculus (house mouse). The record is from RNAcentral. Lineage: Eukaryota; Metazoa; Chordata; Mammalia; Rodentia; Muridae.
UCCACUUCCGCCUACCGGCCCAGCC